GUAAUGGUUAGCACUCUGGACUU
Molecule: non-coding RNA, 23 nt
Filed under: Drosophila melanogaster (fruit fly)
Lineage: Eukaryota; Metazoa; Arthropoda; Insecta; Diptera; Drosophilidae
Also listed under: 1 other name
Source: RNAcentral